CGAAGGGGGACGGAGAAGGCUAUANUGGCCGGGCGACGGUUGUCCCGGUUUAGCGUGUAGGCUGGUUUUCCAGGCAAAUCCGGAAAAUCAAGGCUGAGGCGUGAUGACGAGGCACUACGGUGCUGAAGCAACAAAUGCCCUGCUUCCAGGAAAAGCCUCUAAGCAUCAGGUAACAUCAAAUCGUACCCCAAACCGACACAGGUGGUCAGGUAGAGAAUACCAAGGGGCGGAGAACUCGGGUGAAGGAACUAGGCAAAAUGGUGCCGUAACUUCGGGAGAAGGCACGCUGAUAUGUAGGUGAAGCGACUUGCUCGUGGAGCUGAAAUCAGUCGAAGAUACCAGCUGGCUGCAACUGUUUAUUAAAACACAGCACUGUGCAAACACGAAAGUGGACGUAUACGUGUGACGCCUGCCGGUGCCGGAAGGUUAAUUGAUGGGGUUAGCGCAAGCGAAGCUCUUGAUCGAAGCCCGGUAAACGGCGGCCGUAACAAUAACGGUCCUAAGGUAGCGAAAUUCCUUGUCGGUAAGUUCCGACCUGCACGAAUGGCGUAAUGAUGGCCAGGCUGUUCCACCGAGACUCAGUGAAAUUGAACUCGCUGUGAAGAUGCAGUGUACCCGCGGCAAGACGGAAAGACCCCGUGAACCUUUACAUAGCUUGACACCUGAACAUUGAGCCUUGAUGUGUAGGAUAGGUGGGAGGCUUAGAAGUGUGGACGCCAGUCUGCAUGGAGCCGACCUUGAAAUACCACCCUUUAAUGUUUGAUGUUCUAACGUUGACCCGUAAUCCGGGUUGCGGACAGUGUCUGGUGGGUAGUUUGACUGGGGCGGUCUCCUCCUAAAGAGUAACGGAGAGCACGAAGGUUGGCUAAUCCUGGUCGGACAUCGAGGUUAGUAAUGGCAUAAGCCAGCUUGACUGCGAGCGUGACGGCGCGAGCAGGUGCGAAAGCAGGUCAUAGUGAUCCGGUGGUUCUGAAUGGAAGGGCCAUCGCUCAACGGAUAAAAGGUACUCCGGGAUAACAGGCUGAUACCGCCCAAGAGUUCAUCGACGGCGGUGUUUGGCACCUCGAUGUCGGCUCAUCACAUCCUGGGGCUGAAGUAGGUCCCAGGUAUGGCUGUUCGCCAUUAAAGUGGUACGCGAGCUGGGUUUAGAACGUCGUGAGACAGUUCGGUCCCUAUCUGCCGUGGGCGCUGGAGAACUGAGGCUGCUCCUAGUACGAGAGGACCGGAGUGGACGCAUCACUGGUGUUCGGUUGUCAUGCCAAUGGCACUGCCCGGUAGCAAUGCGGAAGAGAUAAGUGCUGAAAGCAUCUAAGCACGAAACUUGCCCCGAGAUGAGUUCUCCCUGACCCUUUAAGGUCCUGGAGGAACGUUGAAGACGACGACGUUGAUAGGCCGGGUGUGUAAGCGCAGCGAUGCGUUNACCUGANNNU
RNAcentral lists this ribosomal RNA (1430 nucleotides) under metagenome. RNAcentral describes it as "bacterial LSU rRNA". It matches the Rfam family "Bacterial large subunit ribosomal RNA", at positions 1462 to 2898 of the family's 2925-position model. The record is from RNAcentral.